UCAAAGCCUCCCGCCUCAGCAAGAAUCCGGCAAGCUAUUUGAUCACUUGGAGCCAGAUUCUUGAGGGGUUUGGCUUUGAGGGCCUUUUCCUCUCUCACCCAGUAUAGUGGAAACCCAUCGAGGGCGUCGGGAACAAGAUCGGUACAGCAGAUCUUGAAGAACCGGCCUUUCCACCCCGUGAACGAGCUUUGGAAGGGCGUGAAGAGAACUCUUCCGGGCACAUUGCUGAGAGUUACCCAGAGGUUGUGUCUCUGUCUCUUCACCUCAAAAAAG
Molecule: long non-coding RNA, 273 nt
Filed under: Phaseolus vulgaris (common bean)
Lineage: Eukaryota; Viridiplantae; Streptophyta; Magnoliopsida; Fabales; Fabaceae
Description: long non-coding RNA (PVUL_LNC003072)
Source: RNAcentral